This is a long non-coding RNA of Xenopus tropicalis (tropical clawed frog), 983 nucleotides long. RefSeq lists it as uncharacterized. The transcript is spliced from 3 exons. The record is from RefSeq and is a predicted model, not a curated record. Lineage: Eukaryota; Metazoa; Chordata; Amphibia; Anura; Pipidae.
AAAGAAGGUAUUGGUUGCUCUAAACUGAUACACCUUAUAGAAUACACCCCAGUGAAUUUUGUUGUGGUGCCACUGCUAGGCGAUUUGGAACACCAGUUUGCAGCAUUACAAAUAGCCGACCCUAAUAUGUUUUAGUCCUUUACAAGGAACAAAUUGCUUCUUGAUUAGUUCUUAAUUACUCCUUGAUUGUCAGCUGCUGCCUGAGACUAUGCCCAAUUCCAGCUUUGUCCCGGUGUUGUUGCCCUGUAGAACUGGAUAACAAAUGUCAAUUUUGUAAAAAUGGGGCUAUAAAGACACCCAGGAACACAGAGCAAGCUCUCUCUACAGAUUGCUGUUUCACGCAGUUUGCCCAGGGAUUCCACUAAGGAGCUGAGAAGCAGUUCUAUUUUUUUCCUUCUUUUCCCUCACUUAAAGAUAAUUUAUGAGGACAAGCAGAAAGAGGUGCUUGAAAAUGCUAUAGCAACUGUCACCCAGCAAUCCGUCUUUGGAUUUUACUUGGAGAGCCAGUGAGCUGUCUGCAAAGGCCUGGGGACUGCCUUCUGUUUUCAGAAUCGCAUUUCUUAAUGUGUGCAAUGCCAGCAAGCCCAUCAAUGGAGGCAUAAUAUCAAGGGGUUUCAGCAUGUGACUUCUGCCACAAAUUUCAUUAAGAACCUAGCAUGAAGGAUAUUUAGCUCUCAUCAUAACAAUUAGAAUAAUGUAACUCUGUAGGCAUGGUAAUACUCACAUAAAGUAGAAUAACAUUUUUUUUAAAUUAUAAAAAUCACCGGACAGGAUAUGAUAUUCUGCAUUGCUUUGGGCAUUGUAUAAUAUGCAAAAAAAAAAAUCCUUAAUGUAAUGACCUAUAUAUGUGCCUCAUAUGCUUAAUGUACUAUGUUCAUCUUUCUGUGCGCAAAAGUACAUAUCAAUAAGAAUCUAACACUCUAAGGGGGCAUUUACUAACAUCCGUAUUUAUUUACUUUCACAAUUUGUGUUUUUUGUGCAAA